ACGGGUGAGUAAUGUCUGGGGAUCUGCCCGAUAGAGGGGGAUAACCACUGGAAACGGUGGCUAAUACCGCAUAACGUCGCAAGACCAAAGAGGGGGACCUUCGGGCCUCUCACUAUCGGAUGAACCCAGAUGGGAUUAGCUAGUAGGCGGGGUAACGGCCCACCUAGGCGACGAUCCCUAGCUGGUCUGAGAGGAUGACCAGCCACACUGGAACUGAGACACGGUCCAGACUCCUACGGGAGGCAGCAGUGGGGAAUAUUGCACAAUGGGCGCAAGCCUGAUGCAGCCAUGCCGCGUGUAUGAAGAAGGCCUUCGGGUUGUAAAGUACUUUCAGCGGGGAGGAAGGCGAUGUGGUUAAUAACCGCGUCGAUUGACGUUACCCGCAGAAGAAGCACCGGCUAACUCCGUGCCAGCAGCCGCGGUAAUACGGAGGGUGCAAGCGUUAAUCGGAAUUACUGGGCGUAAAGCGCACGCAGGCGGUCUGUUAAGUCAGAUGUGAAAUCCCCGGGCUUAACCUGGGAACUGCAUUUGAAACUGGCAGGCUUGAGUCUCGUAGAGGGGGGUAGAAUUCCAGGUGUAGC
RNAcentral lists this ribosomal RNA (581 nucleotides) under uncultured bacterium. RNAcentral's name for it is "bacterial SSU rRNA". It matches the Rfam family "Bacterial small subunit ribosomal RNA", at positions 102 to 679 of the family's 1533-position model. The record is from RNAcentral. RNAcentral also lists the same sequence under 1 other name.